This 565-nucleotide long non-coding RNA is filed under the name Homo sapiens (human). Its description in RNAcentral is "HSALNT0231438". Lineage: Eukaryota; Metazoa; Chordata; Mammalia; Primates; Hominidae. The record is from RNAcentral.
AAUUGAUCUAUAAAAUGGCUCUCACACUCAUGAUGACAAAUACUGAAAUUUUGAAUUAGCUCUUGAGCUCAAUUUUCUUUUCCAUGAGUAUUUUAUAGUGAGAUCAACUUUCAGAGGAGAAGGUGCACAAAGACUCUUAGAGUUCUUGAAUUGCAAGCAACAGAAACCAAGUCUGGCAAACCCAAGGAAAAUGAAUUCACUGGAGAGACAUGGAAGCCACAUCGUGAAAUGGAAAACCCCAGAAAGAGCUGGAGAAGGGACAAGAAUGAGAGCUGCUUGGAGCUGCAGCAAAGACAGAAAGAGACAAAGCAUGCCAAGUCCACGGUGUUGUGAAAGCACUCAAUAAAGAUUCAUUCUUCCCCCUUCUGUCUCAAGCUCCCUUUCACCAAAUUCUUCAUCCAUUCCAACACAUACUGUGCGCCUACUCUGUGCAAAGCACAUUGAGCAGUAUGAAGAAUGUAAAAAUGAAUAACUCAGUCCCUGCCAAAAAGUCAGCCAUGCCCUCACCCAGGGUAUUAUUUUAUGUUGUUGAGAAAUACCCAAAUGAAUCAUUCAUCUCUGAAAU